UUGAUUCGAUUUCGUGUGUUGGGCCUUUUUUCACUCACGGCCCUAUAGACGUUGCGGCUUGCUCUAACCCUAGAUCGUUGAAUAUGCACGUCUCUCCCUUCUUCUGCGCCGGCGACGAGUGACGAUUGAUCUGCUUAACCAUUUAUGAAACUGGCUGAGUUAUAGUGCGUCUUAAUUUCUCUUCAUUCAAUCGCCCACUCUGCAUUCUUGACUGAGGCGUUCUUCACUCUGAGACGGUGUCAGAUCCGUAUAAAUAUAGUUUUCUUCUCGGACUGGAAGACCGGUGGUUGCUCAUCCGUCGUCGAGGCUAGACUGCUGCGUUUCUGGGAGCCGAGAAAUGUCAAGCGUGGUGGUGAGAUCAUGUGGGACGAUGUGCUUCUGAUUGACGUGAAUUCAACUAUGAUGCAGGCCACCAUCAAUGCUCAUCGGCUUUCAAAAUUCUGGGAGAGGCUCGCCGCCGGAUAAAUAUAUUCCCUCUCCGGUUUUGACAUCGGUUUUGACGUGGCCCGAUGUACUCAAAACUUCAGACUUACCGACUCACCUCUGUUGAUUCGGUUCAAUGAUAAUACAUAAUUUGAUGACAUAACCGAACCGGUCUCACCGUUGCCUAAGAAGGUUUCCGGUUCCGUAACCAAGCCGAGCUGGUUGGAUUAGCUGACACCAACACACAGCUUCCAGGUGAGAUCACUGCUGUUAAGAGUACAGUGAAUGAACCUCCAGAGGAUAAGAAUCGUGUCGUGGCAACUAUCAAGAUGGAAAAAUGGGUACAACAGAUCAACAAGGCAAACUGUGGUCACCUUACUCCCCAUGAGUUGAAAGAAAGAUAAGUUAGAUUCUAAGGAACAAUUCUACCUUUUUCUGUUUAGAGAGAACCAAUAAGUUUAGCUCUUCUUUUUUUCCCUUCUUGCAGCCAGGCUAGGGAAUGCAAGACCGGCGAUCUAAAAAAUUCUCACAGAUUCUGAAAUGAGACAUGUUUUGUCUGAUCUGUGACUGAAACUUACCAGAACGCUCUCACGAAGCAAUGUAACCCUAACACAUUGAAAAUGUUGAAUGAGGCUAAGAGAUUGGUGGUUCUGGUGUUUGCUUCUCAGAUUGUUUUAGUGUUUGAAUGUAGAGUAAGGAAUUAACAUCUUGAAUGUGAUUGAAUGUGGACUCAAAUCUUGGGUGUGCUUUAUGAACAGACAGGUUUCUAUGGAACAAGGAUCCUAUGGCAAUGAUCUUAUAUAUGAGAACUGGAUAGAUCAUCAGUCUUUUCAUAUGCUAUCACUAACCUCUAAAAAUUUAGUUCAGAUCAAUUAUGACUUAAUAUUUUUUAUAUCAAAUAACUUGCUCUUUUAUUUCUCUCUGUUUCAGGCAAUAGCUUUGAUUGGAGACUGGAAGCAGGAAAUCUAUAAUAAAAUUGCAAUGUGCAGAGGUUUCACGAUUUUGAUCACGUCAGCCAAGCUAGCAACGAUUUGUUCAAUGAAACCAUCGUAACAAAACAUUACUUGUGGAAGAGGAUAAGCUUCUGAAACUGCAUCUGAGCUAUCUAAUGCUCAUGGCUUUUUAGUGGACUACAACAUAUAUCUUUAACGGCACUUGAAGCAAUGCGCAGCUUUAAUUUCCAGAUUCAUACUACACAUGAAUGAUGAACAUGUAUCGAGUGUUGCGAGCAUAUGUUACAAUGAUAUGUGAAAAAGGAGUUCAAUUA
Long non-coding RNA from Brassica napus (rape), 1690 nucleotides. RefSeq lists it as uncharacterized. The record is from RefSeq and is a predicted model, not a curated record. The transcript is spliced from 6 exons. NCBI's taxonomy places the organism in Eukaryota, Viridiplantae, Streptophyta, Magnoliopsida, Brassicales, Brassicaceae.